Hevea brasiliensis (rubber tree) is the source of this 1515-nucleotide RNA transcript. RefSeq lists it as uncharacterized. NCBI's taxonomy places the organism in Eukaryota, Viridiplantae, Streptophyta, Magnoliopsida, Malpighiales, Euphorbiaceae. The transcript has 4 exons. The record is from RefSeq and is a predicted model, not a curated record.
CUUUCUAUUUUCUCUCUCUUACCCUCAUCCAAAACCCCUCUCUCCCUCAAUUCCCGAUCUCUAGUUCUAUGGAUUCUCUCUGAUGAUCUCUCACCGAUCUUCUUUUUCGCUUUUCUAAAUUGUCUUUCAUGCGUUUGAUGAUCCAAGCAAGAGGUCGACGAAGAGCUGGUUUUGAGUGAGCGCAGAGUUUUAAGGAGGGAAAGAAAGGUGGCUCUUUCGAAGAGCAGAGGGAGAUAAUGCCUUCGAUACCCAUACAGCUACAGCUCCGUUUGCUUCCAUCUUUGGCUCUCUUUCAUGGUGGAUUGUGUUAUCAUCGUUUGAAACAGCUUGAAAAGCGUGACCGGCGUGGUAAUCUUAGUUAACAUUAGGAACUUUUUCUUCCUAUUUCUCUUCUAUAUUCGCUUCUAGUUCUUUCUCUUUUCGUUCCUUUUGGGUUCUUGCUUUCUGGGUUUCUGCAAUUAGUUGUUAUUUUCGUGAAAAUCGGGUUCGAGAAAUCGGAGAUAGAGAGAUCAUUUGAAGGAUUUGGUUGGACUUGAUAAGAGCUAUUCAGAGACAGCAUAAGAGUUACCUAUUUCUUGUUUGGUGGUGUUAUUGAUGGAAGUUAUCUGUAAUCGAUGUGUGGAUGGUGGUGGUGUUCUGGUAGACGAAAUCCAAAGCAAUUUAAGCAAGUUUGGGCAUUUAGGGGAUGUUCAAGAAACAGAUGCAUCUGAUGGAGACUGUACCAGUGGUGCAGAGGGAUUCCAAGAGCUUGAGCCAUUUGGGCAUGAACCCGUUAAAAAUUCUCUAGAAAAGGCUGUAGCAUUGCCAUCUGAAGAUGAUGAACCUGAAACAGCAUUGCGGCUGCUGUUCUCUGGGGAGCCCAUAAGGCCUGCAUUGCCACUUGUGUCUGCCAUGAAAGGUAGUCGAGAAAAACUGGGAACAUCCCCAAGAAAGCUGUCUGUGACUUGGGCUCCUGAUGUGUAUGAUCCUAUUCCUAAUUCAGUAUCACACUCUGUUACAAGCAAGCAGAGGAAGUCUAGGAAAGAUAAAGGCAAAAAUAGCAACAAUAACCACAAGAAAAAUGGAAAGAAGGGCCAGAAAGGCAACUCAAAAGGAGGAGGUGGUAAAGACAAGAAGCAAUUGCGCAAAACUGGUGGUAGGUCUGAUAAGUGUUAUAAAACACUGAACACUUGUGAUGCCCCAGACCUUGAUGAAUUUGAUGUUGGAAGCCCAGACUACUGUGGAAGUAGCUUCCUGAAAAAAUCCCCCACAACGUUUCACUACCCUGUUGCAGAGGCGUUGUGAAAUCACAUCUUCAUUCUACAUCCUGGUGUUAUGUAAAUAAAUAAAUGUAGCUAUGAAGCUUAUGACUGGAAGAUGUGCUUGUUUGGAUCGGAUGGAAGUAAAAUAUCAGAGGAAUCAAAGCAAGGAAAAAUACUCAGAGAGAAGGAAGGAAAGUCUUAUAUUCUAUUCGGGCCAUUCUCUGCCGUUUAAGGUAACCAAAAAAAUAAAAUUACAUUUUUAACCUUGGUUCUC